AUGAACGCUGGCGGCGUGCCUAAUACAUGCACGUCGAGCGAACAGACGAGAGUGCUUGCACUCUCUGACGUUAGCGGCGGACGGGUGAGUAACACGUGGGUAACCUACCUAUAAGACUGGGAUAACUUCGGGAAACCGGAGCUAAUACCGGAUAAUAUUUAGCUUCGCAUGAAGCAAUAGUGAAAGACGGUUCUGCUGUCACUUAUAGAUGGACCCGCGGUGUAUUAGCUAGUUGGUGAGGUAACGGCUCACCAAGGCAACGAUACAUAGCCGACCUGAGAGGGUGAUCGGCCACACUGGGACUGAGACACGGCCCAGACUCCUACGGGAGGCAGCAGUAGGGAAUCUUCCGCAAUGGACGAAAGUCUGACGGAGCAAUGCCGCGUGAGUGAAGAAGGUUUUCGGAUCGUAAAACUCUGUUGUAAGGGAAGAACAAGUACGUUAGUAACUGAACGUACCUUGACGGUACCUUACCAGAAAGCCACGGCUAACUACGUG
RNAcentral lists this ribosomal RNA (498 nucleotides) under uncultured bacterium. RNAcentral's name for it is "partial 16S ribosomal RNA". It matches the Rfam family "Bacterial small subunit ribosomal RNA", at positions 29 to 507 of the family's 1533-position model. The record is from RNAcentral.